Molecule: ribosomal RNA, 464 nt
Filed under: uncultured bacterium
Lineage: Bacteria
Description: bacterial SSU rRNA
Rfam family: Bacterial small subunit ribosomal RNA
Source: RNAcentral
GGACCCGCACAAGCAGUGGAGCAUGUGGUUUAAUUCGAAGCAACGCGAAGAACCUUACCAGGUCUUGACAUCCUUUGACCACCCAAGAGAUUGGGCUUCCCCUUCGGGGGCAAAGUGACAGGUGGUGCAUGGUUGUCGUCAGCUCGUGUCGUGAGAUGUUGGGUUAAGUCCCGCAACGAGCGCAACCCUUGAUCUUAGUUGCCAGCAUUAAGUUGGGCACUCUAAGGUGACUGCCGGUGACAAACCGGAGGAAGGUGGGGAUGACGUCAAAUCAUCAUGCCCCUUAUGACCUGGGCUACACACGUGCUACAAUGGAUGGUACAAAGGGCAGCGAAACCGCGAGGUGAAGCCAAUCCCAUAAAGCCAUUCUCAGUUCGGAUUGCAGGCUGCAACUCGCCUGCAUGAAGCCGGAAUUGCUAGUAAUCGCGGAUCAGCAUGCCGCGGUGAAUACGUUCCCGGGUCUU